RNAcentral lists this unclassified non-coding RNA (203 nucleotides) under soil metagenome. RNAcentral's name for it is "partial internal transcribed spacer 1". The record is from RNAcentral.
CCGAGUUUACAACUCCCAAACCCAAUGUGAACGUUACCAAACUGUUGCCUCGGCGGGAUUUCUGCCCCGGGCGCGUCGCAGCCCCGGACCAAGGCGCCCGCCGGAGGACCAAUUUACAAACUCUUUGUAUGUCCCUCUGCGGAUUUUUAUUAUACAUUCUGAGCUUUCUCGGCGCUCCUAGCGAGCGGUUCGAAAAUGAAUCA